RNAcentral lists this ribosomal RNA (252 nucleotides) under uncultured bacterium. RNAcentral's name for it is "partial 16S ribosomal RNA". It matches the Rfam family "Bacterial small subunit ribosomal RNA", at positions 524 to 776 of the family's 1533-position model. The record is from RNAcentral.
UACGGGGGGGCAAGCGUUGUUCGGAAUUCCUGGGCGUAAAGGGCUCGUAGGCGGCCAACUAAGUCAGACGUGAAAUCCCUCGGCUUAACCGGGGAACUGCGUCUGAUACUGGAUGGCUUGAGAUUGGGAGAGGGAUGCGGAAUUCCAGGUGUAGCGGUGAAAUGCGUAGAUAUCUGGAGGAACACCGGUGGCGAAGGCGGCAUCCUGGACCAACACUGACGCUGAGGAGCGAAAGCCAGGGGAGCAAACGGG